UUCUUGGACUGGCACUGGUGA
Molecule: non-coding RNA, 21 nt
Filed under: Mus musculus (house mouse)
Lineage: Eukaryota; Metazoa; Chordata; Mammalia; Rodentia; Muridae
Source: RNAcentral